GACGAACGCUGGCGGCGUGCCUAAUACAUGCAAGUUGAGCGCUGAAGGUUGGUACUUGUACCGACUGGAUGAGCAGCGAACGGGUGAGUAACGCGUGGGGAAUCUGCCUUUGAGCGGGGGACAACAUUUGGAAACGAAUGCUAAUACCGCAUAAAAACUUUAAACACAAGUUUUAAGUUUGAAAGAUGCAAUUGCAUCACUCAAAGAUGAUCCCGCGUUGUAUUAGCUAGUUGGUGAGGUAAAGGCUCACCAAGGCGAUGAUACAUAGCCGACCUGAGAGGGCGAUCGGCCACAUUGGGACUGAGACACGGCCCAAACUCCUACGGGAGGCAGCAGUAGGGAAUCUUCGGCAAUGGACGAAAGUCUGACCGAGCAACGCCGCGUGAGUGAAGAAGGUUUUCGGAUCGUAAAACUCUGUUGGUAGAGAAGAACGUUGGUGAGAGUGGAAAGCUCAUCAAGUGACGGUAACUACCCAGAAAGGGACGGCUAACUACGUG
RNAcentral lists this ribosomal RNA (497 nucleotides) under uncultured bacterium. RNAcentral describes it as "partial 16S ribosomal RNA". It matches the Rfam family "Bacterial small subunit ribosomal RNA", at positions 28 to 507 of the family's 1533-position model. The record is from RNAcentral.